GAUGAACGCUGGCGGCGUGCCUAAUACAUGCAAGUCGAGCGAAUGAAUUAAGAGCUUGCUCUUAUGAAGUUAGCGGCGGACGGGUGAGUAACACGUGGGUAACCUGCCCAUAAGACUGGGAUAACUCCGGGAAACCGGGGCUAAUACCGGAUAACAUUUUGAACCGCAUGGUUCGAAAUUGAAAGGCGGCUUCGGCUGUCACUUAUGGAUGGACCCGCGUCGCAUUAGCUAGGUGGUGAGGUAACGGCUCACCAAGGCAACGAUGCGUAGCCGACGUGGGAGGAUGAUCGGCCACACUGGGACUGAGACACGGCCCAGACUCCAACGGGAGGCAGCAGUAGGGAAUCUUCCGCAAUGGACGAAAGUCUGACGGAGCAACGCCGCGUGAGUGAUGAAGGCUUUCGGGUCGUAAAACUCUGUUGUUAGGGAAGAACAAGUGCUAGUUGAAUAAGCUGACACCUUGACGGUACCUAACCAGAAAGCCACGGCUAACUACGUGCCAGCAGCCGCAGUAA
RNAcentral lists this ribosomal RNA (515 nucleotides) under uncultured bacterium. Its description in RNAcentral is "partial 16S ribosomal RNA". It matches the Rfam family "Bacterial small subunit ribosomal RNA", at positions 28 to 523 of the family's 1533-position model. The record is from RNAcentral.